CAAUAGCGUAUAUUAAAGUUGUUGCAGUUAAAAAGCUCGUAGUUGGAUUUCUGGACGGAGCAGCCGGUCCGCCGCUGUGCGGUGUGUACUCGUGCUUGACUCGGUUCAUCCUUGUGGGGAAGCGCAUUUCGGCAUUCAGUUGUCGAGGCGGGGAACCACAUCAUUUACUGUGAAAAAAUUAGAGUGUUUAAAGCAGGCAUUUUGCUGUGAAUACAUUAGCAUGGAAUAAUAACAUAGGACUUUGAUUCUAUUUUGUUGGUUGGAGAUCAAGGUAAUGAUUAACAGGGAUAGUUGGGGGUAUUCAUAUUUAAUUGUCAGAGGUGAAAUUCUUGGAUUUAUGAAAGAUGAACUCAUGCGAAAGCAUUUACCAAGGAUGUUUUCAUUA
Molecule: ribosomal RNA, 385 nt
Filed under: uncultured eukaryote
Lineage: Eukaryota
Description: partial 18S ribosomal RNA
Rfam family: Eukaryotic small subunit ribosomal RNA
Source: RNAcentral